This 85-nucleotide microRNA precursor is filed under the name Macaca fascicularis (crab-eating macaque). Its description in RNAcentral is "mir-548 microRNA precursor family". It matches the Rfam family "mir-548 microRNA precursor family". Lineage: Eukaryota; Metazoa; Chordata; Mammalia; Primates; Cercopithecidae. RNAcentral also lists the same sequence under 2 other names. The record is from Rfam by way of RNAcentral.
UAUUAGGAUGGUGCAAACAUAAUUGCAGCUUUUGCCAUUUAAAAGUAAUGGCAAAAGCUGCAAUUAUGUUUGCACCAACCUAAUA